RNA transcript from Daphnia magna, 1658 nucleotides. RefSeq lists it as uncharacterized. The record is from RefSeq and is a predicted model, not a curated record. The transcript is spliced from 9 exons. Lineage: Eukaryota; Metazoa; Arthropoda; Branchiopoda; Diplostraca; Daphniidae.
CAUUGUUGUGGGCGUCUGCCCGUUCCCUAAUCGUAAGUUAUAAAAGGCUUGCCAUGAUGUGCUGUGACGUAACUAGUAUUAAUUGGCUCAUCUUUUCGAAAAUAAUGGAUCCGCCUAUGCCGAUCAUGAGGCCAAAAAGGACUAUUAAGAAAAAAUUGAACUUCAUGUUUUCGAAUUCGGCAUUAUACGGUUAUCAUAAAAAUUGUUGUAAAGUCGAUGUUGUUUAAUGUUAUUUAAUGUUGCAUAGGUAAAAGGAGAGGUUCAGUUGCUGCUGCGACUAAAAAGGUCAUCAAAGCAGCUGGUAAGAACAACUCAACAACAUCGGUGCCAGGUUUCAUUCCACAAAUUCCAAAACCAGUUCAUGCAUUGUCUCAAUUAAUCCAAGGUAGGGCAUUAACAGUGAGAGCGGAGAAUGGAUUGGGGCCAACCACCAACAACAGAGAGAAAACCUCAUCAACAAGAGUACCAGUUUCCGUUCCACAAAUUCAAGGACCAGCUCAUGCAGCAUCAUUGUCUCAAUUAAUCCAAGACCGGGGAAUGAAAAAGAAAAUGGAUUGGGGCCAUCCACCAACAACACAAGGAGAACCUCAUCAACAUCAUUACCAGUUUCUGAUCAAAGAAGGACUAUCCUUUCAGAAGCCGGACUAAAUCGUAUAGGGGCAAGAACCAAACAUACGACUGAACGUUUUAAUGGCGCUGAUUUAAUGCCCAACGGUGGUGUCGACAACUCACACAACCCACUUCAUUCUGAAUUAGGUGAUGCUUCCUUAACCUUUUAAUCGGCUGCAUUUCUUAGUUCUACUCCGUUAAGAGACAGACUUAGCACACCACCUCGCACAGCAGCACCAAUUACCGGAAAUCUCGGUCAAUUACUGCAGGAAAUUAUUAACUUCAUGGCUGAGUCUAACGCUAAACAAGAGCGUUUGAUGAGCAUUGUUACGACGCUUGCCACACAGAAAACAACACAGGCAGUACCACAGGUUGAGGCCGAUGAUAUGAUAGAUUCCUUGGAGCUUCCAUUCAACGAUUUUGAGGAAUUUCUAUCUUUUGACGAGAAACUUAAAAACAGUUCUGGGUUUCGUAAGAAAUUUGUUAAUUACUUAGCCUGCAUGGGGGGAGGCUCGUUGAAAGAGAGCUGUAAGUUCAUUUUAUUCCACACCAUAGACAAAUACGUUUCCCUACGUUACUCGCGUCGAGGAAUGGGAAGACUAAAAAAGCUGCCUUUUGAAAAGACGCAAUUUUAUAAAUGUUUGAAACGUGCAUUGGGGAAAAGACAUCCAGAUAAAAACGAGUUCCAGUUCAAGCCCAUGCAAGAAGCGAUCACCAAUUUCCUUAAAGACGCAAAAGACCGUAAAGGAGGUCGACAAAUGCGUAAUCGAAACAAGAAAAACGUGGCUGAAAAUUCCUCGUCGUCUUCGUCAUCGUUUUCAAGCGAAGAUGAUGACUAAAUCGUUUAUAUGUUCAGUCGUUUAUAUGUUCAGUGUUAACGAGGAGAGUGAAAUAUUUCCUAUCAUAGAAAUCUUUUUCUCUCCUCGUCGUUAAUAAGGAUUGUUUUGUGUUUUUUUUUAUUAGUCAUGGCUGAAGAAGUCGAAAACUUUUUUUCUCAUUUAUCUUCAUUGAAUUUUGUGCAGUUUACUGUUCUACCGAUUAAUAAAGAA